RNAcentral lists this ribosomal RNA (566 nucleotides) under Diaporthe eres. Its description in RNAcentral is "eukaryotic LSU rRNA". The stretch from base 210 to 363 matches the Rfam family "5.8S ribosomal RNA". The record is from RNAcentral. Lineage: Eukaryota; Fungi; Ascomycota; Sordariomycetes; Diaporthales; Diaporthaceae. RNAcentral also lists the same sequence under 1 other name.
UCUCCGUUGGUGAACCAGCGGAGGGAUCAUUGCUGGAACGCGCCCCAGGCGCACCCAGAAACCCUUUGUGAACUUAUACCUUACUGUUGCCUCGGCGCUAGCUGGUCCUUCGGGGCCCCUCACCCCCGGGUGUUGAGACAGCCCGCCGGCGGCCAACCCAACUCUUGUUUUUACACUGAAACUCUGAGAAUAAAACAUAAAUGAAUCAAAACUUUCAACAACGGAUCUCUUGGUUCUGGCAUCGAUGAAGAACGCAGCGAAAUGCGAUAAGUAAUGUGAAUUGCAGAAUUCAGUGAAUCAUCGAAUCUUUGAACGCACAUUGCGCCCUCUGGUAUUCCGGAGGGCAUGCCUGUUCGAGCGUCAUUUCAACCCUCAAGCCUGGCUUGGUGAUGGGGCACUGCUUCUUACCCAAGGAGCAGGCCCUGAAAUUCAGUGGCGAGCUCGCCAGGACCCCGAGCGCAGUAGUUAAACCCUCGCUCUGGAAGGCCCUGGCGGUGCCCUGCCGUUAAACCCCCAACUUCUGAAAAUUUGACCUCGGAUCAGGUAGGAAUACCCGCUGAACUUAA